Trematomus bernacchii (emerald rockcod) is the source of this 341-nucleotide long non-coding RNA. RefSeq lists it as uncharacterized. The transcript is spliced from 3 exons. NCBI's taxonomy places the organism in Eukaryota, Metazoa, Chordata, Actinopteri, Perciformes, Nototheniidae. The record is from RefSeq and is a predicted model, not a curated record.
UGAUGAUACGGUGCAAAUGCAGGGAAACGGACAGGGAACGUCCAGCGUUUUCUCCUUCAACAUGUUCGAGUUCUCUGGAGGAAGCAGUGAAAUCUACCUGCACUGCAAACUGGAGCUGUGCCCCACACAGGGCCAGGCCUGCACUCCGAGCUGUGGGGGGGCAGCUCGCAGGAGGCGUAGAUCUGCUAAAUACGCUGAUGGGAACGCGGCCCUCAUCACUAUGGGAUGGAGAAACUGAAGAGCUUUGCAUGCUGAUUCCUGACGGUGGAAAUGAAGGUCUUGUUGCUGUGAAACUGAGCCGGCACAUUAUCUGAGAUUAUUCCUGAGGACUCCAGUUAUUC